GCUGUGAUGGCCGAGAGGUUAAGGCGUUGGACUCGAAAUCAAAUGGGGUGUCCCCGCGCAGGUUCAAAUCCUGCUCACAGCG
Molecule: transfer RNA, 82 nt
Filed under: Gadus morhua (Atlantic cod)
Lineage: Eukaryota; Metazoa; Chordata; Actinopteri; Gadiformes; Gadidae
Description: tRNA-Ser (CGA) (tRNA-Ser-CGA-7-1)
Rfam family: tRNA
About the family: Transfer RNA (tRNA) molecules are approximately 80 nucleotides in length. Their secondary structure includes four short double-helical elements and three loops (D, anti-codon, and T loops).
Source: RNAcentral